CAGUCACACCCUUUGGAGCUUGAUCGUUCUGCAUACCUAACUAACUAACUAACUAACUCUGUGAAGAGCGAGCGAGCGCUGACUGCAGCAGGGAGGGUUCAAGAGAGCUUUUGUCAUGCAGGUGCCGGUUCUCUCCUUCCACCCCGGGGAUCCUGGGGCUUGAACUCUUGAACUCGGGUCUUCAUGCUUGGCAGCAAGUGCCGUUGCCCACUGAGCCAUCUCUCCAGCCUAUUGCAUGAUUUCUUAUAUUGCUUUGUUUUCUGUUUUUGUUUGUUUUGACAGGGUUGAGUUUAUCUCAGGCUGGCCUUGAGGUCUACAUAUUGCCAAGGAUAACUUUGAACUCCCGAUGCUCUUGCCUCUGCCUUCCAAGUGCUGGGAUUGCAGGAACGGUUCCACCCAUUGCAACGCAAGGAAGCCCCUGGGAACCACACCUAGACCUCAGGUGAAGAUGCCAGCCGCCAGGCAGGCAGGGUAGCACACACUUGUAGUCCCAGCACCGAGGAGGUAGAGGCAGGACCAUCAGGAGUUCCAGGUCAUCUUCAGCUCCACAGAGAGCUGGAGGCCUGCCUGGGUACCUGAGAAUGUCUCAAGAACCCCCAAAUCUGGGGCUGGGGAGAUGUCUCAGCUGGUAAAGGGGUUUGCUCACCUCCAAGCCUGGUGACCUGGGUUCCAUCUGUAGGACACAUGUGAUUCCUACACGGUGUGUCCU
Molecule: long non-coding RNA, 709 nt
Filed under: Cricetulus griseus (Chinese hamster)
Lineage: Eukaryota; Metazoa; Chordata; Mammalia; Rodentia; Cricetidae
Description: lncRNA (ENSCGRG00015038092.1)
Source: RNAcentral